Molecule: ribosomal RNA, 351 nt
Filed under: Triticum aestivum (bread wheat)
Lineage: Eukaryota; Viridiplantae; Streptophyta; Magnoliopsida; Poales; Poaceae
Description: partial small subunit ribosomal RNA
Source: RNAcentral
AUGGGACGCGCGGCGGCGAGGGUGCAUGGCCAUGGGGAUUGGGAUUCUCCCCUUGGUCACGCUGAGGAGGUGAGGGAGGAAGCGAGAGGAGGGAGGAGCGAGAGAAAAAUAGAAGAUGGCGGCGCUGGUAGAAGAAGGAGGCGGGGCAUCGAGGGAGUGAUGCGGGAACGAACACGGAGAUGGGGAUCGGGCGUGGGGCUUCUGGCAGCGCUAGAGGAGGAGACGAGGGAGAGUGGGGGUUGGGCUAGGGUUAGAGCAGAUAGGUGGGCCGGCUGGAUGGGCCUAAGUGGCCGGCUAGGCUGGGCCUCUCUCUUCCCUCUCCAACUCUCUUUCCUUCAUAUUUUUUUAUAG